This 490-nucleotide ribosomal RNA is filed under the name uncultured bacterium. Its description in RNAcentral is "partial 16S ribosomal RNA". It matches the Rfam family "Bacterial small subunit ribosomal RNA", at positions 30 to 507 of the family's 1533-position model. The record is from RNAcentral.
AUUGAACGCUGGCGGCAGGCCUAACACAUGCAAGUCGAACGGUAACAGGAAGAAGCUUGCUUCUUUGCUGACGAGUGGCGGACGGGUGAGUAAUGUCUGGGAAACUGCCUGAUGGAGGGGGAUAACUACUGGAAACGGUAGCUAAUACCGCAUAACGUCGCAAGACCAAAGAGGGGGACCUUCGGGCCUCUUGCCAUCGGAUGUGCCCAGAUGGGAUUAGCUAGUAGGUGGGGUAACGGCUCCCCUAGGCGACGAUCCCUAGCUGGUCUGAGAGGAUGACCAGACACACUGGAACUGAGACACGGUCCAGACUCCUACGGGAGGCAGCAGUGGGGAAUAUUGCACAAUGGGCGCAAGCCUGAUGCAGCCAUGCCGCGUGUAUGAAGAAGGCCUUCGGGUUGUAAAGUACUUUCAGCGGGGAGGAAGGGAGUAAAGUUAAUACCUUUGCUCAUUGACGUUACCCGCAGAAGAAGCACCGGCUAACUCCGUG